AAUCAACGCUGGCGGCGUGCCUCAGACAUGCAAGUCGAACGCGAAAGUCCCCUUCGGGGGACAAGUAGAGUGGCGCACGGGUGAGUAACACGUAGGUAAUCUACCUUCGGAUGGGGAAUAACAACCGGAAACGGUUGCUAAUACCGCAUAAUGCAGCGGCACCUAAUGGUGACAGUUGUUAAAGCGGGGGAUCGAAAGACCUCGCGUCUGAAGAGGAGCCUGCGGCGGAUUAGCUAGNGGUAAGGUAAUGGCUUACCAAGGCGACGAUCCGUAGCCGGCCUGAGAGGGCGGUCGGCCACACUGACACUGACAUACGGGUCAGACUCCUACGGGAGGCAGCAGUCGGGAAUUUUGGGCAAUGGGCGAAAGCCUGACCCAGCAACGCCGCGUGAAGGAUGAAAUCCCUCGGGAUGUAAACUUCGCAAGAACGGGAAGAAUAAGUAGGGGACAAUACCCCCUAUGAUGACGGUACCGUUUGUAAGCUCCGGCU
RNAcentral lists this ribosomal RNA (490 nucleotides) under uncultured bacterium. Its description in RNAcentral is "bacterial SSU rRNA". It matches the Rfam family "Bacterial small subunit ribosomal RNA", at positions 32 to 498 of the family's 1533-position model. The record is from RNAcentral.